Molecule: unclassified non-coding RNA, 200 nt
Filed under: Cystolepiota sp.
Lineage: Eukaryota; Fungi; Basidiomycota; Agaricomycetes; Agaricales; Agaricaceae
Description: partial internal transcribed spacer 2
Source: RNAcentral
UUAAGUUCAGCGGGUAGUCCUACCUGAUUUGAGGUCAAACAUUCAAAAGUUGUCCAUAGAGGACCGUUGUAAGCUGAACAGAUAGAGCGUUCAUCAUCUUUGGCGUAGAUAAUUAUCACACCAGUGACAGAUCGCAAACCGUUCCGCUAAUGCAUUUCAGGGGAGCUGACCUCUAUCGAGACCUGCACAAAACCCCCACA